UGCCAGCCGCCGCGGUAACACGGGGGGCGCAAGCGUUAUUCGGAAUUAUUGGGCGUAAAGGGCGCGCAGGCGGUCUUGUCCGUCAGGUGUGAAAGCUCGGGGCUCAACCCCGGAAGUGCACUUGAAACAGCAAGACUUGAAUACGGUAGAGGAGAGAGGAAUUCCUGGUGUAGAGGUGAAAUUCGUAGACAUCAGGAGGAACACCGAUGGCGAAGGCACCUUACUGGGCUAUUACUAACACUGAGAGACGAAAGCUAGGGUAGCAAAUGGGAUUAGAUA
Molecule: ribosomal RNA, 279 nt
Filed under: uncultured bacterium
Lineage: Bacteria
Description: partial 16S ribosomal RNA
Rfam family: Bacterial small subunit ribosomal RNA
Source: RNAcentral